This 166-nucleotide ribosomal RNA is filed under the name Saprolegnia sp. MCA 3070. Its description in RNAcentral is "5.8S ribosomal RNA". It matches the Rfam family "5.8S ribosomal RNA". From Rfam's summary of the family: 5.8S ribosomal RNA (5.8S rRNA) is a component of the large subunit of the eukaryotic ribosome. Lineage: Eukaryota; Oomycota; Saprolegniomycetes; Saprolegniales; Saprolegniaceae. The record is from RNAcentral.
UUGAAAUACAACUUUCAACAGUGGAUGUCUAGGCUCGCACACCGAUGAAGAACGCUGCGAACUGCGAUACGUAAUGCGAAUUGCAGAAUUCAGUGAGUCAUCAAAAUUUUGAACGCAUAUUGCACUUCCGGGUUAGUCCUGGGAGUAUGUUUGUAUCAGUGUCCGU